Molecule: long non-coding RNA, 114 nt
Organism: Clupea harengus (Atlantic herring)
Lineage: Eukaryota; Metazoa; Chordata; Actinopteri; Clupeiformes; Clupeidae
Exons: 3
Source: RefSeq, a predicted model, not a curated record
GACUACAAGGACCCAUUGGGAUGCGUGGGAUGCCAGGUUUACCAGGGCCAGUCGGUGAGUCAGGCCUUCAAGGACCCCAGGGUCGACAAGGUGAUGAUGGAGCCAGGGGAGAAC